Molecule: long non-coding RNA, 805 nt
Filed under: Phasianus colchicus (ring-necked pheasant)
Lineage: Eukaryota; Metazoa; Chordata; Aves; Galliformes; Phasianidae
Description: lncRNA (ENSPCLG00000001021.1)
Source: RNAcentral
CAGGUUCUUCCCUCUCUGUCUCUGCUAUUGAUUACGGUGUGAUGGAUUUUGUGGUGGAGAGAUUGUAAAUUUCAAGACCAGACUGACAUUUGAAAUAUUUUUCAAAUUGAAUUUCAGAUGUAUUUUCAAAAGUACUCAACUAAGCAUGGUCACAGAAUUAUACCAUCCGGAACUAGGUGAAUGAGUGAUUUGUGGAAGGUAUGCAGUGCCUUUUGCCGUAAAUCCUGUCACCUUACACUCUUCAUUGUCUCAGCAAGAAUGAAUGUGUCUACUAUUGCAGUGCUGCUGCUGUGAACUGGAAGUCUCUCAGACCAAAGGUUCCCUAAGCUCCUUUUUGCUAUGUAAAUGUGAAAAUCCAAACCUUAGCAAUGGAUUGGAAGCGCUGAUUCUCCUAAAGUCCCCUAAGCAAACCGAACACUGAGCUGCCAUGUCAAGCCCCUUAAGUCAUUUAAAGGAAUUUGGGAAUUCAGCACACUUGAGGUAAUUUCCUGGCUAUUCAUCUAUAAUGUCUACAGCCCGUUCCAAUUUUUGACACACAGAUAUAUUAUAACCAACCCUGAUCCGCCUGCAUAAAUAGUAAACUCUCUUGAAAACGUAAAAUGUGAAGAAAUGGGCUUUCUUAGUACUGUUAGAAAGGAAGAUAAAUCAUAUUGAACUUGAAAUAACAGAUGAUCCGAUCUUCAGUGCCUGAAUACCUGUGCGUUUUUAUCUAAGAACUGAAUGCAAAGCAUGUUGAUAAUGCAACAGUGUUAAUUCUUGAAAUUAUUACAAUGUUUGCCAAAUAACUAAACACUUGAAGCAGUCC